Molecule: ribosomal RNA, 253 nt
Filed under: uncultured bacterium
Lineage: Bacteria
Description: partial 16S ribosomal RNA
Rfam family: Bacterial small subunit ribosomal RNA
Source: RNAcentral
UACGUAGGGGGCAAGCGUUAUCCGGAUUCACUGGGUGUAAAGGGAGCGUAGACGGCGACGCAAGCCAGGAGUGAAAGCCCGGGGCCCAACCCCGGGACUGCUCUUGGAACUGCGUGGCUGGAGUGCAGGAGGGGCAGGCGGAAUUCCUGGUGUAGCGGUGAAAUGCGUAGAUAUCAGGAGGAACACCGGUGGCGAAGGCGGCCUGCUGGACUGCAACUGACGUUGAGGCCCGAAAGCGUGGGGAGCAAGCAGG